CCCUCUUUGCCAAGGGCCUGAUUAAUUAAUGUUUUACGUUAAAAUUCCCUAAGAGGAUGAGAACCGAUACCCAAAGCAUGCAGGCUACAGCACUCCACAUAUCCCUAUGCCUUGAGGAGCCAGUGGCAAGCACACUGGGGCCUGAGUCUAACUCAUUUGGAAACAUCCAAUUCGUUUGGAAUCAUUAUUAUUUAAUCCCAUAGAUCACCCUGAAACAACGCAUUCGUAUUUAAAUAAUGUCGACCCAGAUGCUAAUUUUCCAUUCCGCCAAACAAUUAGUAUAAUUAUAUGGUAGAAGAAUCUAUUAGCGAUCAAUGAGACCUUCUCA
This is a non-coding RNA of Paramuricea clavata, 328 nucleotides long. The record is from the annotation of a GenBank genome assembly. NCBI's taxonomy places the organism in Eukaryota, Metazoa, Cnidaria, Anthozoa, Malacalcyonacea, Plexauridae.